Molecule: ribosomal RNA, 1000 nt
Filed under: Streptococcus thermophilus
Lineage: Bacteria; Bacillati; Bacillota; Bacilli; Lactobacillales; Streptococcaceae
Description: bacterial SSU rRNA
Rfam family: Bacterial small subunit ribosomal RNA
Source: RNAcentral
GUUGCGAACGGGUGAGUAACGCGUAGGUAACCUGCCUUGUAGCGGGGGAUAACUAUUGGAAACGAUAGCUAAUACCGCAUAACAAUGGAUGACACAUGUCAUUUAUUUGAAAGGGGCAAUUGCUCCACUACAAGAUGGACCUGCGUUGUAUUAGCUAGUAGGUGAGGUAAUGGCUCACCUAGGCGACGAUACAUAGCCGACCUGAGAGGGUGAUCGGCCACACUGGGACUGAGACACGGCCCAGACUCCUACGGGAGGCAGCAGUAGGGAAUCUUCGGCAAUGGGGGCAACCCUGACCGAGCAACGCCGCGUGAGUGAAGAAGGUUUUCGGAUCGUAAAGCUCUGUUGUAAGUCAAGAACGGGUGUGAGAGUGGAAAGUUCACACUGUGACGGUAGCUUACCAGAAAGGGACGGCUAACUACGUGCCAGCAGCCGCGGUAAUACGUAGGUCCCGAGCGUUGUCCGGAUUUAUUGGGCGUAAAGCGAGCGCAGGCGGUUUGAUAAGUCUGAAGUUAAAGGCUGUGGCUCAACCAUAGUUCGCUUUGGAAACUGUCAAACUUGAGUGCAGAAGGGGAGAGUGGAAUUCCAUGUGUAGCGGUGAAAUGCGUAGAUAUAUGGAGGAACACCGGUGGCGAAAGCGGCUCUCUGGUCUGUAACUGACGCUGAGGCUCGAAAGCGUGGGGAGCGAACAGGAUUAGAUACCCUGGUAGUCCACGCCGUAAACGAUGAGUGCUAGGUGUUGGAUCCUUUCCGGGAUUCAGUGCCGCAGCUAACGCAUUAAGCACUCCGCCUGGGGAGUACGACCGCAAGGUUGAAACUCAAAGGAAUUGACGGGGGCCCGCACAAGCGGUGGAGCAUGUGGUUUAAUUCGAAGCAACGCGAAGAACCUUACCAGGUCUUGACAUCCCGAUGCUAUUUCUAGAGAUAGAAAGUUACUUCGGUACAUCGGUGACAGGUGGUGCAUGGUUGUCGUCAGCUCGUGUCGUGAGAUGUUGGGUUA